CGACCCUCGCGCCCGGCUUCUGUCGGGGGCGGUGUUGGGGAUCGGCCACACCCACUCCGGUGGGAGGCCGGCCCCUAAAUCCAGUGGCGACCACGCUGUAGCCUCCCCUGCGUAGUACUAAAACCACCUCGCAGGCGGAGAGCGGUGCGGCCCGCCGUAAAACCCCCCAACUUUUACAAGG
RNAcentral lists this unclassified non-coding RNA (181 nucleotides) under uncultured Acremonium. RNAcentral describes it as "sequence contains ITS2". The record is from RNAcentral. Lineage: Eukaryota; Fungi; Ascomycota.